Molecule: long non-coding RNA, 804 nt
Organism: Engraulis encrasicolus (European anchovy)
Lineage: Eukaryota; Metazoa; Chordata; Actinopteri; Clupeiformes; Engraulidae
Exons: 3
Source: RefSeq, a predicted model, not a curated record
UGCAGCUUAAGGCUGCAGACAAAAAGUUUAGCACAGAUUCUGUGGCUUAACUACCCGCCAUACAGUGUAACUAGCUUGAUCUCAUGGCCAGUCUGUAAUUGGACUGGCUUUGUCUGCAUUUGUUAGCGUUGAGCUAAAGAUACAUGUGGCACAUCACCUGUGCACACGGUUUCGUGUUGAAAAGUAACUCAUCACGCCGCUGAGGAAUUGAUGCACAACGAGUUGAAUGAUCAGGAGGUGUGUUUCGUGUUGACCGGGUUUACUCACCGUAACCCCACAGAUUCACACGCAGGACUCCAUUGUGGCAGAGGCGCAGUGUUAAGGGGUGUUUGUGCCGCUUCUCUCCUCUCCCUUUUUAGUACCUCCAAGCCAUUAGUGUUUUAGUUAUUGGGUUGGUUUUGUGUCCAAGUCAAUUUAUAUUCUUUUCUUGUAUGUCCCUUUUUUGUUUUGUGAACUCGAGGCUCUGGCCUAGUCUUGUGCCCAACAUCCGCCCUUAUCUCACAGCAAGGCCCCACUUGUGUGAUCACUGGUAGUAGUUAGUGUGUGUAGAACACAUCUGAUUUGCUGUGGUUUAAUGUGUGUAAGUCACCUUAACCAUACUUUGAUUGCUGUGAGGUUGCCAUAUAUGGGUGCCGUGUAUUCACUAUAUACUGAACAAGGUUGAGGGUCACCUGGUUUUGUGUGAUAGUAAGGCCUUCUGUGUUAUCGGGCCACAGGCACUGUAGUAUUUUGGCCUAGCCAGCCUCCGACUGUUUUCUUUCCUUUUUCUAUUUAUUGUAAAAAUAAAAACAAAUUCUAUUUUCA